Molecule: ribosomal RNA, 253 nt
Filed under: uncultured bacterium
Lineage: Bacteria
Description: partial 16S ribosomal RNA
Rfam family: Bacterial small subunit ribosomal RNA
Source: RNAcentral
GACGUAGGGGGCGAGCGUUGUCCGGAUUUAUUGGGCGUAAAGCGCGCGUAGGCGGCCCGUUAAGUCGGAUGUGAAAACCCGGGGCUCAACCCCGGGCCUGCAUCCGAUACUGGCGGGCUGGAGGCAGGCAGGGGAGAGUGGAAUUCCCGGUGUAGCGGUGAAAUGCGCAGAUAUCGGGAGGAACACCGGUGGCGAAGGCGGCGCUCUGGGCCUGUCCUGACGCUCAGGCGCGAAAGCUAGGGGAGCAAACAGG